RNAcentral lists this ribosomal RNA (423 nucleotides) under uncultured bacterium. RNAcentral's name for it is "bacterial SSU rRNA". It matches the Rfam family "Bacterial small subunit ribosomal RNA", at positions 358 to 773 of the family's 1533-position model. The record is from RNAcentral.
AGAAUCUUUCGCAAUGGGCGCAAGCCUGACGAGGCGACGCCGUGUGAGCGAAGAAGGCCUUCGGGUUGUAACGCUCUUUCGCCAGGGAACAAGGGAGACGGGAUAACACCACGUUGACUUGAUGGUACUUGGUAAAGAAGCACCGGCUAACUCCGUGCCAGCAGCUGCGGUAAUACGGAGGGUGCAAGCAUCGAUCGGAAUUACUGGGAGUAAAGGGCGCGUAGGCGGCUAGAAAAGUCGGAUGUGAAAUUCCAGGGCUCAACCCUGGAGCUGCAUUUGAAACUCUCUAGCUAGAGUGUAGUUAGGGUAAACGGAAUUCCACGUGUAGCGGUGAAAUGCGUAGAUAUGUGGAAGAACACCGGUGGUGAAGACGGUUUACUGGGCUAUAACUGACGCUGAGGCGCGAAAGCAUGGGGAGCAAAC